RNAcentral lists this ribosomal RNA (512 nucleotides) under Lecidella enteroleucella. RNAcentral describes it as "SSU rRNA". It matches the Rfam family "Bacterial small subunit ribosomal RNA", at positions 451 to 969 of the family's 1533-position model. The record is from RNAcentral. Lineage: Eukaryota; Fungi; Ascomycota; Lecanoromycetes; Lecanorales; Lecanoraceae.
AAAUUCUAGGUAGAAUUAUGAUAAUGACAUUAUCUGCCUAUAUGUCUUGACCAAAUUACGUGCCAGCAGUCGCGGUAAUACGUAGAAGACUAGUGUUAUUCAUCUUUAAUAGGUUUAAAGGGUACCUAGACGGUAAAUCAAGCCUGCGAGGGGACUAAUUUACUAGAGUUACUUGUGAGGGGGUAUUAAAGUACUAAUGGUGUAGAGAUGAAAUUCUGUCAUACCUCUUUUCGUAAGAAAAAUUACGGCACAGGUAUAGGCGAAAGCAUCCCCUUAUGUGAUAACUGACGUUGAAGGACGAAGGCUUUGUGUCGCGAACAGGAUUAGAUACCCCAGUAGUCAAAGCAGAAAAUGAUGAAUGUCAUAGAUUAGACAUAUAAUAGUUUAUUCUAUAAAUGAAAGUGUAAGCAUUCCACCUCAAGAGUAAUUUGGCAACAUUGGAACUGAAAUCAUUAGACCGUUUCUGAAACCAGUAGUGAAGUAUGUUGUUUAAUUUGAUAAUCGCGAAAAAC